This 73-nucleotide transfer RNA is filed under the name Ailuropoda melanoleuca (giant panda). It matches the Rfam family "tRNA". From Rfam's summary of the family: Transfer RNA (tRNA) molecules are approximately 80 nucleotides in length. The record is from Rfam by way of RNAcentral. Lineage: Eukaryota; Metazoa; Chordata; Mammalia; Carnivora; Ursidae.
GCAAGGCUGGCUCAGUCGUUGCAGCGUGAGACUCUUGAUCUCAGGGUUGUGGGUUCGAGCCCCAUGUUGAGUG